This 1471-nucleotide long non-coding RNA is filed under the name Anas platyrhynchos platyrhynchos (common mallard). RNAcentral's name for it is "lncRNA (ENSAPLG00000018917.1)". The record is from RNAcentral. Lineage: Eukaryota; Metazoa; Chordata; Aves; Anseriformes; Anatidae.
AAAAAAUAUCAUGAAACAUAACAAACAAACAAGCAAAAGAUCUCCAAGUAUUGCAAGACUUGAUAUGAAAUGCAGACAACUGGAAACAGAUUCUCAAUAAAACCAUCACAAUAUUUGCCUAAAGUAGAAAGUAAGGUCAGCUCUGUAGACAUCUUGGAGAAGAUCAGCUGUCAGCAUAAACUGACACAACUCCACCAAAGUCAAUUUGCACCAAAUGAAAUCUUCUCCCUUCUUUAUUUUGCUUUAUCUAUCUUUGCAUUGCAGUGUUGCUGCCUACAGAGCCCAGUGGUGAAAAGCAGCAGGAAUCACCUUAUAGAGGAUUUUGUAUAUUUGCAGCUCAAUGCCAAGUGCCUUCGAAAGUCUGAAAGAACAGCCCACUACUACAGGUUGCUGGUUUUUGGUGAUGGCAAGGUAUUUUGGCAAGUUGUCAACAUCCAGAGUCCUUGGCCAAGAAGAAUAUCAUAAUGAUGUUGAUAUGAGUCUCUCUAGAAUCCACAGUGGGUCAUUUAUAUGUUUCCUAACACGCUUUUACACCUUGGUCUUUCUUCACUGGUCUGUACCUCCAUGUUACACCAAUAUAUACUACAUAUUUUCCCAUUGUCAAAGGUUAGAUACUAUUUAUUUGUUCUCCAUGAAACCAGUUUUGUACAACUCCAUGUUGGUGUUUUUUUUUUUUUUUUUUUUUUUAACUGACCAUACGGGAGUUGCUUAUAAUUGCAGGGUCUCCAGUGGCAACCUGUGACCCACCUCCUACCACUCCACACCUGCAUUUCUCUGCAUUGCAUCUUGUGUCCCCACUUUACUGGGCUUCUGCUGCUGUUCCAGAACAGUAUUUCUCUACACUAUGCGUUAGUCACAAAUGUCUCCUUUUAUAUUGAGUAACUGCUUAUUAUUGCUAUCUAUAACUGUAGUUGAAUAACACAAAGAUAAGUGAAAAGUAAAACUAAAUAGCUAUCCCACCUCAAUCUUAGAAUAAUUGCAUUUAUAGUUAAACCAGGUAAAACAAAGCUGCUGCAAAGACUAGGUAGUAUUAGUAGUUGAUAUGAUAUUACAGGGCUAAAAAGAAACAUCAUUUCUUCAAAUUCUCUUUUUUUUUUUUUUUUCUUCUUUGAUACUUUUUUUCCCUUUCCUCAUGUUCCUUUCUCCAUUUUUCCCUGUUUCUGUUUUUCCACUCUCUUUCCCCUUUCCCUCUAAACCUAGCUCUUAAAAAUAAUUACUGCACUGUAACAUUUAUACUCCAACAAGCUCUUCCCAUGUCUCUGAUGUUGCUCCUAAACCUCCCCAUGACUCUCCAGGUUCCCAAAAGCAGCCUGCUAAAAAGGCUAUGGUUUUAAAAUAACAGAUACAUAUUCACAAGGAAACAUGUUAUAUUGGCUUUUGCUUUCUUUUUUUUUUUUUUUUUUUUUUUUUUUUAAUAUAUGUAUAUCAAAGAGGAAAUAAAGAUAAGUAGGUUUGUUUAAUAGUUUUCUAC